GUGGAUGUGGCCACACCAAAACGGGCGGUGAACCAAUAUACAUCUUCUCUGUCUCUCUCUCCCCCUCUAUUAGGAUCCAUGUACAAACAAUAGCGAGAUCGGCUAUUUGUUUCGGUGCAGAGGCAAAGAGAGAGACUGUGAAAGGAGAAGAGGAGUAAUCGAUCUAGAUUUGUUUAAUCAAUACCAGUAAAAGCUUGGUACAGUGAUCGAUUUCCCAGCUUUUAACCGUCUGUGCAACCUGUACUUUAAUUAGCUUUUCAAUCGCUCCGACAACCAAAAUUUUCUGAUACUCUCAGAGACAAAAGUUGAACUAAAAACAAAUAAAAGAGAGACACAAAUAAAAAUUUUACUUGAAGAGGCACCUGACUGGAAGCUUCCCACUCCACGCAAGCCAAUACCAUGGGUAUUGUUGGAAUAGGAUUUGUCCCAAAACAAGGGUGGUGUAUUAAGAAAUUUGGGGUGUGUAUAUAAAACUUCUCUUAAACAUGCAAUGCUAGUCAUAGAAAGCUACUCACUAACAAAACAUAUUUAACGCAUAAAGAUCAAUGAAAGUUUGAUUGAUUUAAGCCAAACAUACAAGUUAGAACACUAAUCAAGCAUGCAAGACUCAUUGUUGAUUUACUUAAGGAACUAUAGGUUUCCCACUUAGCAAUUAAGACCUAAAUUACUAGCAUAUCUUAGUUUGAAUUCAAUUACAUGCUUAAUAUUCUAAGUUUGCAACCAAAGAACACAAAAUAUUUAAAAGGUGGGAUUGAAAAACAAAACAAACAAUCAAAAUUCAUCACACAUUGAAGUCGCAAUUUAUGUUUGUAGAAACCUAAAACGUUUUCAUACUUCAUGGUUAUUGGAAACUAAAUAUCAAAAUGUAAACUCAAUCAUCACAAGUAAUCGAAAUUUUCAUUUAAACAAACAAAGAUUUCUAAUUGUUAUACAAACAUAUGAAAAUGAAAGCAAAGAGUUUAUAGUCAUGGUUACACUUUUAAAAAACUUCAAGAACGCAAGAUGAUCUUCAAGAGGAUGAAGGAGGAUCAUGGCAAGGAUAUGUAUGGAGGAUGAUGGCUCUUUGCUUCACGGCUUGCACUAUGGAAGAAUUGUCGAAACUAGAGAGAAAGAGGGGAGAUGUUUGUGUUUUCUGAUUUUGGGAUUUGAUGAUGAAUAAAACGUCUUGCAUAGCUCUCUAAAUAUAGAAGACGGCAAGGGUUGAUGUUUGGAGUGCACUCUACUUCUUCUGCAUCACCUGACCACUCAAAAUAUUCCAAAGGAAGUAGAGAUCAACCUUGAAUAUAGAAACAAGGAGU
Molecule: long non-coding RNA, 1298 nt
Organism: Rosa chinensis
Lineage: Eukaryota; Viridiplantae; Streptophyta; Magnoliopsida; Rosales; Rosaceae
Exons: 5
Source: RefSeq, a predicted model, not a curated record